AUGCGCAGGGGCUGGCUUCGAAUGUGGGGGACGAUGUUCAAACCUGGCUGUCGUGAGCUCUUCCCUGCCCAGAUCCCCAGCCCGGCCCCCACACCUGGGGCAGCUGUGGCAAUGGCCCCGCCGGCAGUGCUGGGGCCCCCGGGGGUGGUGGGCACUGCUGUGGGGUGGUCGCUAGCAGGCCCUGCUCGCUGGCACCUGGAGAGCUCCUCAGUGAGUGCUGCUGCCUCAGGCACGCGUCUCUCGAAGCACGUUUCAUCCCUGCCAGUGUCUUGGUGGGAUCUGCUCUGCAGCAAGACAUCCCCAUCCGUGGUGUCAGCCACAGGGUGCGUGGUUUUGUCAGGCUCUGUGGUCUGGUCCUGGGCUCUGCUUGCCAAUGCAUCUGGGCUGACUGUGUGUGCUGAYGGCUCCUGCACCACAGCCAUGCUAAACUCUGAUGUGGCUUCACCCGUGUCUGGCUGUGACAGCUGCCCACUGGGUCCUGGGCUCGCACCCCCGCCAUACAGCUCAAGACUGCCACUAGCAGCUGCCAGACUGUGUCCUGCAAGUCUGUGGCAGGUGGUGUGGGGCCGUGCGGGGCAGGCCCCCGGUUCUCAGCCCUCCCUGCCGUGCUCAGGUCAUGGAGGAUGCCCUGAGGAUGGCCUGCAGACUUCCUGGGAGAAGGUGUUGUUGCCUGAGGUUGGCCCAUUUCACCGCAGGGCUCUGCAGGGUCCCAGCGUGUUUCCUCCACCAUGCUGUCUGCUGCACCAGGUGGCUGGGGCGAUGUUUCUGCAGGGGUGCAGGCCUGGAGCCGGGCCCCAGAGAUCCCCCUCAACACCAGCCUGGCUGCAGCUUCGCACAGAGCUCUGCACCCCCUUUGCAAGCACAGCCACUCUGUCAGCUGUGACCCAAACUGCGCCAGCAGCUGUGCACACACUGACCGCACCAUGCUCUGAGGAAGAACAUCACUGUCUGCACCCAAGCACUCCUCACAGAGGGGAGCUGGACCUUGCCAUUGAGACAGCUCCGUCAUGA
This 1011-nucleotide long non-coding RNA is filed under the name Apteryx haastii (Great spotted kiwi). RNAcentral's name for it is "lncRNA (ENSAHAG00000015024.1)". Lineage: Eukaryota; Metazoa; Chordata; Aves; Apterygiformes; Apterygidae. The record is from RNAcentral.